Molecule: long non-coding RNA, 707 nt
Filed under: Vulpes vulpes (red fox)
Lineage: Eukaryota; Metazoa; Chordata; Mammalia; Carnivora; Canidae
Description: lncRNA (ENSVVUG00000029497.1)
Source: RNAcentral
AGAGAUGAUAGACAAUGGGAGAAAAAUCACACAGUCAUCCUUUUCUGUCUUCUCUUUUUCUCUAACAGUAUAAAUGUCGGAAAAAGAAAAAAAAAGAACCCAAACUUUUACAAGGAAGAAUUCACAAUUCUCAGGCAAACAUCUCCAGUAAGACAGACACUCUGUCUCAUUGUAAGCAAGAGUGGCACCCUUAGGAGAUAAGAAUUGGAUAGGAUUAUGCAGAAGAUGGAAGACCAGGAGAGGAGCAUUUAAACAUAUUAGGGAAGGAUGUCGAGAGAAUUAAUGACCUAUAUUUUGGAGUCUCUCAGAGCUGUGUAAACAAAAAGAAGUGGCAAUAAUUGAAGAGGGCAGAAGGAAAUGGAUUCUGGUACAGAAAUCAACGAACCAAAGACUUCAGCUGGAGCCCAAAUCCACACACACGAUACUGAAGACAAAGUGCCCAUCCCUGAGGAGUUUACAAAAUUAGCAACUUGGAGGUGAAGGUGAGUAUUUGGGGAAACAAAAUCCCUAGAAUAGGCUGACUGUUGUUUUCAGGUAUAGCAUGGUUGAAGUUUUCACGUAUAGCAUGGUUGAAAUGGGGCGCUAGAGCAAUGAAUACAUGGUAUUACUUGGUAUCUCACCACAGCUCCUGGAGCUUUGAUGGAAUUGUGUGUAGAUUAAGGGUAGGAUAUUGAGCAAGGUGUACUUCAUCCAGUUCCAAAGUUUGC